AAAGGCCUCAUUACCCAAGCUAUGACCACCUCCCUACCAAAUCAGUUUCAGCCUCAGCCAUGUAAACUCAGGACAGAGGUUGGGUUUGUCGAUCUGCUUUUAAUAUCCUCAUGCCAAAGUCCCUGGUAUGUAAUGAACACUAAGCUCAAGCAAAACUGUGAGCUGUGAUCUUGUUGCUGAUACUAGGUUUUCCAGUCCUCAUCUAGUCCUCCCAAUCCUGAGGUUUGCAGCAAUCAGGAGUAGAGCUGAGACCACAAUAAAAACCUAGUGACCCUUCUCAAUGCUGCCAUCUAAGUGAGAGACCCAAGCAGAACUGGUCAUGGCCAAAUGUUUUCUGUUUGUUCCAGGAAGG
This 352-nucleotide long non-coding RNA is filed under the name Homo sapiens (human). Its description in RNAcentral is "HSALNT0040394". Lineage: Eukaryota; Metazoa; Chordata; Mammalia; Primates; Hominidae. The record is from RNAcentral.